RNAcentral lists this ribosomal RNA (253 nucleotides) under uncultured bacterium. RNAcentral describes it as "partial 16S ribosomal RNA". It matches the Rfam family "Bacterial small subunit ribosomal RNA", at positions 524 to 776 of the family's 1533-position model. The record is from RNAcentral.
UACGAAGGGGGCUAGCGUUGCUCGGAAUUACUGGGCGUAAAGGGCGCGUAGGCGGCCUACUAAGUCGGACGUGAAAUCCCUCGGCUCAACCGGGGAACUGCGUCCGAUACUGGUGGGCUCGAAUCCGGGAGAGGGAUGUGGAAUUCCAGGUGUAGCGGUGAAAUGCGUAGAUAUCAGGAAGAACACCGGUGGCGAAAGCGCUCUGCUAGGCCGCAACUGACACUGAGGGACGAAAGCUAGGGGAGCGAAUGGG